Molecule: long non-coding RNA, 2199 nt
Filed under: Solanum lycopersicum (tomato)
Lineage: Eukaryota; Viridiplantae; Streptophyta; Magnoliopsida; Solanales; Solanaceae
Description: long non-coding RNA (SLYC_LNC000548)
Source: RNAcentral
AACGCUUUCCCAUCCCCUCUCCCCUUUCUCUCGUACGAAUAGUACGCCUAGGUGUCGAAAUCUCCUCUCCCCUCUCGUCCUUUCCCUCAAAUCGGAUGGUUAUCCUUUUCAAUCCGUUGAAAUUGUACAAAGGUCGACAGCUUUCAUCCCUAUCUUAAGGAUUUCGAAUUCAACUUGGGAGGUGAAAUCUUAAUCUUACCCCAGCCUUUUUUGAGAUUUCCUCCGCUCUCCACCAUUCGAAAAUCGUUAUCCAUGGCUAUAUAUAUUUUCAUUUGCUCACUGUUUGGUGGGGGGAUUUUUUUUUUUGGAGAGAAAUUUUUAUGUCUUGUUAUAGAAAAGAAAAGAAAUAUUAAAAGAGUUUAUUCAUAGGAAGAUUUUACAAUAGUUUAAGCACACCUAUAAAUCUAUUGAAGUUGAAUUCAAAAUAGAAAGAUUGUGCAGUUUUUUUUUUAUUAUUAUUAUUCGAAUUCGAAGUUGUGUAGUGGAAGGUCAUUCGCGUGCUCGCACUGUCCAAUUCGUUGCUUGUAGAAAGGUAAUGCUUUUUUUUCUCUUCCUUUUACUCAUGUUUUGCUUCAGUGAUAAAUGUGAUACAAUGAAUGUUGUUUGUUCCUCUGUUCCGUCCCUGUUUUGGCUUAUUCGUUUCGAUUCUUAUACUCUUCUUCGAAGGAUUGCUUGGUGCGAUUGAUUCGUUGUUGAACACGAUGGGAUAUGUGUUUUUGUUGUUUGCUUUGGUUCUUCACUGUUUUUCCUUACCCGUUUCAACUUUUUCACCCCUCGUCGAGAGAUUGUUGUUGGGAUUUCUGAUUGAUCAUUGUUCAUCGUCUUAGUUACGUGUUUGAAUCAUUUGUUUUGUUGGUACUGUUAGUGAUAGGUUUCCUUUUAGUUUCAAGUUCCUGGUACUGUUUUUGAGUUUAAAUGUUUGGCAGUAUUGCCAUUUUCCUUGUCUUCUUUUUCCUAUACUCAUUGAUAUGUUUUGUAAUUGCUAAUAAAAAAAAUUCUUUAUUAUUAAGCUUCAUUCUUUGCCUGUUCUGUGUUAAUAUCUCUGCAAUGCUCAUCUGUUACUCACCAAAUGCCUAUCAUGUGCAUGUAGUUUCGCUUAUUUCGUUAAACUCAUACGUUUGUAUAUCCACACCGUAGUCUUUGUUUAGCUGUAAGAAAUGUUCAUGUUUCCCUCUAUAUUAAAGUAGUUCUACCUUAUAUGACUAGUUGGGGUUGUUUGAUGUCAAUUGUAUGAUUUAUCAUAGUCAUCUUGUCAACUGGUGAUAUUAAUGUUAUGAUAUGAUAUUGAGUUCUACCAUCCUAAUUCCUUCUCUUUUGUUUGUUUGAUUGCAUGUGAAAUCACUUUCGAGGUCCCAUGGACUUCAUUCCCAUCUCUUGCACUUCCUCGUUGAGCCAUAAAGGCUCGAAACACCUUUCCCGUGUCAGUCAACCCCCCUGAAAGGAUGUACAGGUCGGGAAAAACCAGCAGAAACUGCUGGAAAAAUUUGUUGCAGGGAUUUGAAGAAGAUGUAUACAGCAGUAUAUAUAUUUUAUGCAAAGUUGUAUGCUGAUAUAUAGGUUGAAGGCGUACAGAUGGAUCCAAAUUUGAAAUCUGGAUUGAUGACAGGGAAAAUACAAUUCUGAACAGGAGUUUUCAACUUUCAAAAGUUGAAAAACAGGAUGAUAUACAGACUGUAUACACAGAUAUACAGGGACGGUAUACCUUAAAUAUGUGUAAAAAAUGUGAAUUGCAAGUUAACGUACGGGGACGCCGAUUUUAAAUAAAAUACAGGACUAGACAAUGAAUACGUACAUAGGGUGCAGCCCGUAUACAUUGGUAUACAUCUUUUGGGUGAUGAUAUACAAUUGUUAAACAGGGCGAAAUACAGGGGAAAUAGCUGAAAAUGUGUACUUAAACAAAUGCAGGGCUCAAAAGGUCCAAAAUGGAUCGGAUAUACACCGUAUACAACAGUAUACAUCGUUUGUAUACUUUAUGUCUCAUUUUUCAGGAAAUUGGGCCAGGGCCCUUCAGUCCCCUUUUAUUAACAAGCCCAAAGGCCAUUUGUUUCUGCAGGUUUUUUUAAAAAAAAAAAAAAGCCAAAGCCCAAUUGAAUGAAUUUGGGCAAUUAAGCCCAAGUUCAAAUACUUUCUCUCUUUAUUUAAUAUUUGUUUAAAUUAAUUAGUGUUUUGGUAUAAUUUAAAUAAUCUCCUAAAGCGUAG